Molecule: ribosomal RNA, 465 nt
Filed under: uncultured bacterium
Lineage: Bacteria
Description: partial 16S ribosomal RNA
Rfam family: Bacterial small subunit ribosomal RNA
Source: RNAcentral
GACGAACGCUGGCGGCGUGCUUAACACAUGCAAGUCGAACGGAAAGGCCCUGCUUGCAGGGUACUCGAGUGGCGAACGGGUGAGUAACACGUGGGUGAUCUGCCCUGCACUUCGGGAUAAGCCUGGGAAACUGGGUCUAAUACCGGAUAGGAGCCCUUUUUAGUGUGAUGGUUGGAAAGUUUUUUCGGUGUAGGAUGAGCUCGCGGCCUAUCAGCUUGUUGGUGGGGUAAUGGCCUACCAAGGCGGCGACGGGUAGCCGGCCUGGGAGGGUGGACGGCCACAUUGGGACUGAGAUACGGCCCAGACUCCUACGGGAGGCAGCAGGGGGGAAUAUUGCACAAUGGGCGCAAGCCUGAUGCAGCGACGCCGCGUGGGGGAUGACGGCCUUCGGGUUGUAAACUCCUUUCGCUAGGGACGAAGCUUUUUGUGACGGUACCUAGAUAAGAAGCACCGGCUAACUACGUG